RNAcentral lists this non-coding RNA (834 nucleotides) under Sclerolinum brattstromi. The record is from RNAcentral. Lineage: Eukaryota; Metazoa; Annelida; Polychaeta; Sabellida; Siboglinidae.
UACCAGCUUGAUUCCAGCUUAAAAAUUAUCUUUUUCUGAGAAAUCCACAUGCAAAUUAUUCUAUCCCCGUGAGGGGGCAUUUUUCUAUUAUAUAGUUUAAAAUAAUUUAAUCUAAUCUUGCCCCGAGAUCGACCCAUAAGUAAAUACCUCAAAGACACCUCACGUCCGCAGUGAAAAAUUCUAAUUAUGCCUAAAAAUAGGGCCUCGGCUACAGAAAUAAAGAGUUGGUGAAAUUCGUGCCAGCUACCGCGGUUAAACGACAGACUCAAGCUAAUUCUAUCGGAAAUUAUGAAUUCCUAGAUAAAAACAUCUCCCAAAGAAGUCUAAUUCUAUUAUUAUUCCCUUACCCAAACUUAUCUUAUAAUCACAUGAAAGCCUAGAUCUAAACAAGGAUUAGAUACCCUUUUAUUCUAAGCCCAAAAUUAUCCAGGGCACUACAAACACAGGUUUAAAACCCAAAGAACUUGGCGGUACCUAAAUCCAAUCAGGGGAACCUGUCCUUUAAAUCGACAAUCCACGUAAAUUUUACCUUUUCUUGAAUUACCCCAGCCUGUAUACUGCCGUCGCCAGCCUACCAUUAAAGUGACAGUAAGCAAAAAAUUAUCAAUUUCCACGUCAGGUCAAAGUGCAGCUUAUGAAAAGGAAGAGAUGGGUUACAACUUAUAAUAUAAAUAUGAACUGCUAAUGAAAAUAAAUAUGAAAACGGACUUGAAAGUAAUUAUAAUGUUAUAUUUUAAUGAAUAUGGCAACCUAAGGUGUGUACACAUCGCCCGUCACUCUCACCGAAAGGGGAGAUAAGUCGUAACAUAGCAGGUGUAAUGGAAAUUGCACCUU